This 74-nucleotide transfer RNA is filed under the name Petromyzon marinus (sea lamprey). Its description in RNAcentral is "tRNA-Asn (GTT) (tRNA-Asn-GTT-53 1 to 6)". The record is from RNAcentral. Lineage: Eukaryota; Metazoa; Chordata; Hyperoartia; Petromyzontiformes; Petromyzontidae.
GUCUCUGUGGCGCAAUUGGUUAACGCGUUUGGCAGUUAACCGGAAGGUUGGUGGUUCAAGCCCACCCAGGGACG